Molecule: ribosomal RNA, 583 nt
Filed under: Trechus fulvus
Lineage: Eukaryota; Metazoa; Arthropoda; Insecta; Coleoptera; Carabidae
Description: partial 16S ribosomal RNA
Rfam family: Bacterial large subunit ribosomal RNA (bases 341-499)
Source: RNAcentral
AAUGGCUGCAGUAAUUUGACUGUACAAAGGUAGCAUAAUCAUUAGUUUUUUAAUUAAAAGCUUGUAUGAAAGGUUGGACGAAAUAAAAUCUGUCUCUUUUUAAUAUAAUUAGAAUUUAAUUUUUAAGUUAAAAAGCUUAAAUAAAUUUAAAAGACGAGAAGACCCUAUAGAGUUUAAUAAUUUUUUUUUUUUAAUUAAUUUAGAUUUAUUUAUUUUAUUUUAAAAAAAUUAUUUUAUUGGGGUAAUAGAAAGAUUAAAAUAAUUCUUUUUUAAAAAAAUCAUUAAUUUAUGAAAAUUUAUGAUCCAUUGAAUUUUGAUUAUAAGAUUAAAUUACCUUAGGGAUAACAGCGUAAUUUUUUUUAAGAGUUCAUAUCGAUAAAAAAGUUUGCGACCUCGAUGUUGGAUUAAAGAUUAAUUUAGGUGUAGAAGUUUAAAUUUUUGGUCUGUUCGACCAUUAAAUCUUUACAUGAUCUGAGUUCAAACCGGUGUAAGCCAGGUUGGUUUCUAUCUUUAAAAAAAAUUUAAUAUUUUAGUACGAAAGGACCAGAUAUUAUAUAUAUUAAUAUUUAAGUUAUUGAAUAUU